Molecule: transfer RNA, 69 nt
Filed under: Ictidomys tridecemlineatus (thirteen-lined ground squirrel)
Lineage: Eukaryota; Metazoa; Chordata; Mammalia; Rodentia; Sciuridae
Description: Spermophilus tridecemlineatus (thirteen-lined ground squirrel) tRNA
Rfam family: tRNA
About the family: Transfer RNA (tRNA) molecules are approximately 80 nucleotides in length. Their secondary structure includes four short double-helical elements and three loops (D, anti-codon, and T loops).
Source: Rfam by way of RNAcentral
GGAGAUGUAGCUCAGUGGUAGAGCACUUGCCUGGCAUGUGUGAGGCCCUGGGUUCAAUCCUCAGCACCA